Molecule: ribosomal RNA, 341 nt
Filed under: uncultured Desulfobulbus sp.
Lineage: Bacteria; Pseudomonadati; Thermodesulfobacteriota; Desulfobulbia; Desulfobulbales; Desulfobulbaceae
Description: bacterial SSU rRNA
Rfam family: Bacterial small subunit ribosomal RNA
Source: RNAcentral
CUGCAUGGCUGUCGUCAGCUCGUGUCGUGAGAUGUUGGGUUAAGUCCCGCAACGAGCGCAACCCUUGCCUUAGUUUGCCAGCAGUUCGGCUGGGCACUCUAAAGGGACUGCCGGUGUUAAACCGGAGGAAGGUGGGGAUGACGUCAAGUCCUCAUGGCCUUUAUGACCAGGGCUACACACGUACUACAAUGGCCGAUACAAAGGGCAGCGACACUGCGAGGUGAAGCCAAUCCCGUAAAAUCGGUCUCAGUCCGGAUUGGAGUCUGCAACUCGACUCCAUGAAGUUGGAAUCGCUAGUAAUCGUGGAUCAGCAUGCCACGGUGAAUACGUUCCCGGGCCUU